UGAGUUGCGAACGGGUGAGUAACGCGUAGGUAACCUGCCUGGUAGCGGGGGAUAACUAUUGGAAACGAUAGCUAAUACCGCAUAACAGUAGAUAUCGCAUGAUGACUGCUUAAAAGGUGCAACUGCACCACUACCAGAUGGACCUGCGUUGUAUUAGCUAGUUGGUGAGGUAACGGCUCACCAAGGCAACGAUACAUAGCCGACCUGAGAGGGUGAUCGGCCACACUGGGACUGAGACACGGCCCAG
Molecule: ribosomal RNA, 247 nt
Filed under: uncultured bacterium
Lineage: Bacteria
Description: partial 16S ribosomal RNA
Rfam family: Bacterial small subunit ribosomal RNA
Source: RNAcentral